Non-coding RNA from Danio rerio (zebrafish), 752 nucleotides. The record is from Ensembl. NCBI's taxonomy places the organism in Eukaryota, Metazoa, Chordata, Actinopteri, Cypriniformes, Danionidae.
AUAGUGCUUCCGUUCCCCUCCUCGGGGAACGAAGGGUUACUUUAGUAACCUCGAACGGUACAUGAUGAUGAUGAUGAUGAUGAUGAUGAUGAUGAUUUCAGUUCUGCUUUCUGCUGCUGCUUUGGCUGUUUUCAUCGCUGCUGUUCUGUGUUUGAUCCAGCGCAGAAGAAGAGCUGGUGAGUCUCACAUUUACUCCAAUUACAAACACUUGACUUUAAUGAGCAGAAAACAAGAGCAACAUUCCUGAUCCCUGAGCAAACAACAAAACACCACUGAAGAAGAGCUCAUGGCAAACUACUGCUCACAAUGCGCACAAUGGAGAUUCCAUUGCUUUUAAUGGAGACUCUAUUGCUCAUGUGCCUCAUUUUCUGCCUUCUAUUGGUGGCCUGUUAAAAGCAGUCGAUCCUAAUGGAGAAUGUGGCCAAACACAGCACAAACCAGGACAAUGUGCUGCUUUUAAUGCCUCAAAUCUGAUGCUCUGGGAUCUUUUAAUGCUGUCUGUAAUGGAAACCAGUAGACUUUCUGUUGUGUUUUCUCCUCAAUCCUCAGCAGCUCAUCAAAGAGCGAGCGGUGAAUCAGCGGUCAAAGAUGAGAAUCAAGUCCACUAUCAAACAAUCCACAUGUCCAUUAAUCCUGCUGCCAGAGCCCAUGAGCAGACGGAGGAUUCAGUCACUUAUUCUGAGGUCACUUGUGCUGGGAAAAAGCCGGAGAAAUCAGCCAGUGAUGAUGAUGGUAAUGACUCAGUGACUUAC